RNAcentral lists this ribosomal RNA (325 nucleotides) under uncultured Polaromonas sp. RNAcentral describes it as "bacterial SSU rRNA". It matches the Rfam family "Bacterial small subunit ribosomal RNA", at positions 1058 to 1382 of the family's 1533-position model. Lineage: Bacteria; Pseudomonadati; Pseudomonadota; Betaproteobacteria; Burkholderiales; Comamonadaceae. The record is from RNAcentral.
GCUCGUGUCGUUGAGAUGUUGGGUUAAGUCCCGCAACCGAGCGCAACCCUUGUCAUUAGUUGCUACAUUCAGUUGGGCACUCUAAUGAGACUGACCGGUGACAAACCGGAGGAAGGUGGGGAUGACGUCAAGUCCUCAUGGCCCUUAUAGGUGGGGCUACACACGUCAUACAAUGGAUGGUACAAAGGGCCGCCAACCCGCGAGGGGGAGCCAAUCCCAUAAAGCCAUUCGUAGUCCGGAUCGCAGUCUGCAACUCGACUGCGUGAAGUCGGAAUCGCUAGUAAUCGUGGAUCAGAAUGUCACGGUGAAUACGUUCCCGGGUCUU